GGCGGGGCCAAAAGAGGGCGCGGCCGAUGGGGCGGAGGCGGGGUUCCAGAGGCGGGGCCUAGCGGAGAGGGUGGGGGGAAGGGCGAGGCGUGAACACCCGGUGGGGCCGCGGCAGCCGGGGCCUCCCAGGCUCCAGGACCUGGAAGGGUUGAGCUGAAGUCGGAAGGGCCCCUCCGACCGGCCGUGGGACUCUGCGGGGGAUCUGGGGCGACAGGCUUCAGGCUCAUCGCGUGACGGUCCCGAGGCUGACUCGCACCAAGCCAGGGUGAGCAGGAAGAUGUCCUGGGAGCACUGCAAAAUCCGGUGUCCCUCUCUGUGGGUGAAGAUGCUCUACCUUUGCCCCCUCCCCUGGGAUCUCCACGUUUCUGCCCUUCACUGCCCCAAUAAAGCAGUUUUUGCCUCUCUCUGGCUCUCUCUA
This is a long non-coding RNA of Ailuropoda melanoleuca (giant panda), 418 nucleotides long. RefSeq lists it as uncharacterized. Lineage: Eukaryota; Metazoa; Chordata; Mammalia; Carnivora; Ursidae. The transcript has 2 exons. The record is from RefSeq and is a predicted model, not a curated record.